GAUGAACGCUGGCGGCGUGCCUAAUACAUGUAAGUCGAGCGAACGGACGAGAAGCUUGCUUCUCUGAUGUUAGCGGCGGACGGGUGAGUAACACGUGGAUAACCUACCUAUAAGACUGGGAUAACUUCGGGAAACCGGAGCUAAUACCGGAUAAUAUUUUGAACCGCAUGGUCCAAAAGUGAAAGACGGUCUUGCUGUCACUUAUAGAUGGAUCCGCGCUGCAUUAGCUAGUUGGUAAGGUAACGGCUUACCAAGGCAACGAUGCAUAGCCGACCUGAGAGGGUGAUCGGCCACACUGGAACUGAGACACGGUCCAGACUCCUACGGGAGGCAGCAGUAGGGAAUCUUCCGCAAUGGGCGAAGGCCUGACGGAGCAACGCCGCGUGAGUGAUGAAGGUCUUCGGAUCGUAAAACUCUGUUAUUAGGGAAGAACAUAUGUGUAAGUAACUGUGCACAUCUUGACGGUACCUAAUCAGAAAGCCGCGGCUAACUACGUG
RNAcentral lists this ribosomal RNA (497 nucleotides) under uncultured bacterium. RNAcentral's name for it is "partial 16S ribosomal RNA". It matches the Rfam family "Bacterial small subunit ribosomal RNA", at positions 28 to 507 of the family's 1533-position model. The record is from RNAcentral.